RNAcentral lists this ribosomal RNA (372 nucleotides) under uncultured organism. RNAcentral's name for it is "bacterial SSU rRNA". It matches the Rfam family "Bacterial small subunit ribosomal RNA", at positions 526 to 896 of the family's 1533-position model. The record is from RNAcentral.
CGUAGGUGGCAAGCGUUGUCCGGAUUUAUUGGGUUUAAAGGGUGCGUAGGCGGUCUUAUAAGUCAGUGCUGAAAUAUCCCGGCUUAACCGGGAGGGUGGCAUUGAUACUGUAGGACUUGAGUAAAGUUGAGGUUGGCGGAAUUGACGGUGUAGCGGUGAAAUGCUUAGAUAUCGUCAAGAACACCGAUAGUGUAGACAGCUAACUAAGCUUUAACUGACGCUGAGGCACGAAAGUGUGGGGGUCAAACAGGAUUAGAUACCCCGGUAGUCCUGGCUGUAAACGUUGGAUACUAGGUGUGGGGGGUAUCGACCCCCCCCGUGCCGAAGUUAACACAUUAAGUAUCCCGCCUGGGAAGUACGGCCGCAAGGUUG